CCAGAAGCAGUGCUCAGGAAACAUUCUGCUCUGCCAAAACCUUUCUAGCUCUGGCAGGUUGUGAAGCGUAAGGUCUUAAAAUAAGUCUGAGAGUACCAGCGCUGCUUCAAAAAGCAGGUCCUGUUUCCACAUUCAAGAGGAGCAACAAAAGGCUAAAGGAUCUCCUGAACAUGUGAAGAGCAGUCGUUUUCCAAGGUACUCAGCCAAUCAGCUGUAGAGUCAUGACGUCUGGAUGGAAUAUUUGUCCCUUGUUCAGUGACCAGCAUGGACCAUCUGGAAGCCUGAUUGGAAGCUGUGCUGACAUGCAGGAAGUCCAUCACCCAGAACUGCCUCCGCCUGCAGAGAGUUAUGCGUCUGAGAUUAUCUUCAUGGAUCCCUCCAAGAGAUGCUAUUUGAGCUUCACAUCCCUGGAUUUCCAUAUGUGGGAGGAGAUGCAGCAGCAGAUGGAGCAUAUUUUAGGGAGGUG
Long non-coding RNA from Mauremys mutica (yellowpond turtle), 466 nucleotides. RefSeq lists it as uncharacterized. The transcript is spliced from 4 exons. Lineage: Eukaryota; Metazoa; Chordata; Testudines; Geoemydidae. The record is from RefSeq and is a predicted model, not a curated record.